RNAcentral lists this ribosomal RNA (616 nucleotides) under uncultured bacterium. Its description in RNAcentral is "bacterial SSU rRNA". It matches the Rfam family "Bacterial small subunit ribosomal RNA", at positions 338 to 951 of the family's 1533-position model. The record is from RNAcentral.
CCUACGGGAGGCAGCAGUGGGGAAUUUUGGACAAUGGGCGCAAGCCUGAUCCAGCCAUGCCGCGUGUGGGAAGAAGGCCUUCGGGUUGUAAACCACUUUUGUCAGGGAAGAAACGGUUCUUACUAAUAUUAGGAACUAAUGACGGUACCUGAAGAAUAAGCACCGGCUAACUACGUGCCAGCAGCCGCGGUAAUACGUAGGGUGCAAGCGUUAAUCGGAAUUACUGGGCGUAAAGCGUGCGCAGGCGGCUUUGCAAGACAGAUGUGAAAUCCCCGGGCUCAACCUGGGAACUGCAUUUGUGACUGCAUGGCUAGAGUACGGUAGAGGGGGAUGGAAUUCCGCGUGUAGCAGUGAAAUGCGUAGAUAUGCGGAGGAACACCGAUGGCGAAGGCAAUCCCCUGGACCUGUACUGACGCUCAUGCACGAAAGCGUGGGGAGCAAACAGGAUUAGAUACCCUGGUAGUCCACGCCCUAAACGAUGUCAACUGGUUGUUGGACGGCUUGCUGUUCAGUAACGAAGCUAACGCGUGAAGUUGACCGCCUGGGGAGUACGGCCGCAAGGUUGAAACUCAAAUGAAUUGACGGCUGAGAGNGCGAGACGACACGAGGGAGGAGG